AAGUAAAAAAAUUUUAUGCAUAUUAUUAAUCAAAAAUAGAAUUACCAAUUAUAUAUAUAUACAUACAUACAUACGCACAUACACACUUCUAACACACACACACACACAUACAUACAUGCAUACAUAUAUGCAUGCAUGCAUAUACAUACAUACAUAUAUAUAAUUAUAUAUAUAUAUAUAUAUAUAUAGAGAGAGAGAGAGA
RNAcentral lists this long non-coding RNA (202 nucleotides) under Elaeis guineensis (African oil palm). RNAcentral's name for it is "long non-coding RNA (EGUI_LNC052354)". The record is from RNAcentral. Lineage: Eukaryota; Viridiplantae; Streptophyta; Magnoliopsida; Arecales; Arecaceae.